CAGAGGUUGGGAUGGGUGCUGUGACAAAUGGGAAUAGGGCAUUCUGAAAAGUAAAACUAGGGCAGGGUAAUGCCUAAUUCGAAGAGUCAGAAAAGUGACAUCAAGCUGAGAACUAAAGGAUUUCCCUUGAAAUGAAGGCGGUAUGUUCGUAUGGGGCUUGGGGGAAGGCAAGAUUGGAAUUCACAACUGGAUUUAAAAAAUUAGGCAAAUGACAAAGUCAGGAAAUGAUUUGAGAGGAAGAGCUCCAGACCCCCACCACAAAGCUAAGGAGAACUGACCAUCAAGGCUUCAAGAUCUUCAAGAGAUAGUCCACAGAGUCUGUAAAUCACCCACUGUCACGGGAGUUCUUCUACUUGCCUGAUCACAGGAAUCAUCAGACCCUCCACCUAUGAGUUACAUGACCUUCCUGGAGACUUUGGUGCAUUAAUGAUGGGGUGUGGUCCAGAAUACAGAGAAGAGAAUAAAGGACCAGGGGGAUCUUCUCAGGCACGUGUGAGAAACACUUCUAAAACCUUUUUCUGUAUUUUAUAGUUUUCACCUAUUUUACUCUAAAACUGAAAAUAAGAGACUCUCCUUUAUUAUUAUGGUGGACUAGCUUUUUAAAAAUGCCAAAAUACACAUAAUAUAUUCUUCACAUAAAUGAUUGAAAGUAACUAGAAACAAGCUGACAUUUGGGAGAAAGUAGGUUAAUUAAAAGAAAAGUUUUCAAGAGAAGAGAUUCAUAUUUAAAAAGUAUUCAGAGGUCAUGAAGAUUUCAGUACUACUGUGUGACAACUUGGGAAAUAAAAUACAUUCACAUGCAUGAAUGCAUCCUUACACACGGGUGCGCACACACACAUACACACACACACACACACCCUCUACUACAUGAUAUGGGCAAUUAUGCUGCCUAUGACCUAAACCCUAUCUAUGGGUGAUAGUGUCAAUAAGAUGGAAACUUUCCAAAAAAGAAAUAUUAGCUGAGACUUUUAGCCAAAACUGGGAGGUGGCAUUAACCUUUUCAUGCCCUUUGUACAUAGUCAAAUAAAACAAAAAUCAUUUUUCAUGUAUCAAUUGUAAUUGAUAAUGUUAUAUUCUUAUUGUAUCACAGGUUAUAAAGCCUUUGAACACACACGCACACACAAAAUCUUAGUGUUGCUAGGUUUUGCUCCCCAAACUCCUGGGUUUGGGUUUAUAUAUAUAUAUUACUCUAACGAGUGGCUGUUGAACAGUUGCCUUCCUCAUCCUGCCUAUGGGAGCUGAUUAUGCUCUACCUUCUAUGCCAAAAACACUCUGGAUGACACAGCCUGUGCCCCUAAUGAAGGGGGAGAAGAAAACCAUAGAGGUCAGGAGCUAUUUUGAAGGUCUCUUGAGGAGAUCUUUGCAACGGCAGUCAUUUCCUUUAUCAGCACACAUUAACAAAAACCUUCUGGUGGGGGCUCUGAGUUUUCUGUAUCA
Long non-coding RNA from Callithrix jacchus (white-tufted-ear marmoset), 1437 nucleotides. RefSeq lists it as uncharacterized. NCBI's taxonomy places the organism in Eukaryota, Metazoa, Chordata, Mammalia, Primates, Cebidae. The record is from RefSeq and is a predicted model, not a curated record.